ACAAUGGAGAGUUUGAUCCUGGCUCAGGAUGAACGCUGGCGGUCUGCUUAACACAUGCAAGUCGAACGGGUUCCUUCGGGAGCUAGUGGCGGACGGGUGAGUAACGCGUGAGAAUCUGCCCUUAGGUUCGGGACAACAGUUGGAAACGACUGCUAAUACCGGAUGUGCCG
This 170-nucleotide ribosomal RNA is filed under the name Oculatellaceae cyanobacterium Prado106. Its description in RNAcentral is "partial 16S ribosomal RNA". It matches the Rfam family "Bacterial small subunit ribosomal RNA", at positions 1 to 180 of the family's 1533-position model. Lineage: Bacteria; Bacillati; Cyanobacteriota; Cyanophyceae; Oculatellales; Oculatellaceae. The record is from RNAcentral.